RNAcentral lists this ribosomal RNA (321 nucleotides) under uncultured eukaryote. RNAcentral's name for it is "partial 18S ribosomal RNA". It matches the Rfam family "Eukaryotic small subunit ribosomal RNA", at positions 1470 to 1796 of the family's 1831-position model. The record is from RNAcentral.
CCCUUAGAUGUUCUGGGCCGCACGCGCGCUACACUGAUGCAUUCAACAAGCCUAGCCUUGACCGAGAGGUCCGGGUAAUCUUUGAAACUGCAUCGUGAUGGGGCUAGAUUAUUGCAAUUAUUAAUCUUCAACGAGGAAUGCCUAGUAAGCGUGAUUCAUCAAAUCGCGUUGAUUACGUCCCUGCCCUUUGUACACACCGCCCGUCGCUCCUACCGAUUGAAUGUUCCGGUGAGCUCUUCGGACUGCGCGGUCUGCAGUUUCUGCGUUCCGUGCGGAAAGUUGCGCAAACCUUAACAUUUAGAGGAAGGAGAAGUCGUAACA